UAUAAAAUUUAUCGAGUGGGCUGGUAUGCUUCUGGAAGUACGGAGCCCUCCAUUUUUUAAGUUGUUUUCGAUGUUCGGACUUUCGAAUCGACGAUCGGCUCCGUUAGAGUUGAUCCAGAGUAUUUGAAGUACCUAGAAAAUAAAUUUUGCGAUUUUUCGAUAUCAUUUGCUUAGUGAUCGAAGUGGCUCAAAAUCAAUAAUUUUAAAGGCCGUAAUGAGCCGUUUGCAAGUUUAACGGUGGAAAAAUAUCCAAAUCACACGAAAUUUUGAUAGAAAAUUCUUUAUACCGUAUAAAAUAAGAUCAAUAGCUUUGAUCUAAAAUUUUAAUGUCAUAUCAUCAU
Molecule: long non-coding RNA, 341 nt
Filed under: Ananas comosus (pineapple)
Lineage: Eukaryota; Viridiplantae; Streptophyta; Magnoliopsida; Poales; Bromeliaceae
Description: long non-coding RNA (ACOM_LNC035381)
Source: RNAcentral